AGAUGCGAGAGUAGAGCAUAUCAAUAAGCGGAGGAAAAGAAACUAACAAGGAUUCCCUUAGUAACGGCGAGUGAAGCGGGAAGAGCUCAAAUUUGAAAUCUUCAAGGUUCUACCUUGACGAAUUGUAGUUUAUAGAAGUGUUUUCUGUUAGUGGAGUGGCAAAAGUUCUUUGGAAUAGGACAUCAUAGAGGGUGAGAAUCCCGUAUUUGGUCAUUCCUCCUAGCGUUGUGAUACACUUUCAACGAGUCGGAUUGUUUGGGAAUGCAGUCCAAAAUGGGUGGUAAAUUUCAUCUAAAGCUAAAUAUUGGCGAGAGACCGAUAGCGAACAAGUACCGUGAGGGAAAGAUGAAAAGAACUUUGAAAAGAGAGUUAAACAGUACGUGAAAUUGUCAAAAGGGAAGCGUUUGACACCAGUGUUGUUUUUCCGAAAAUCAAUUACGAAUGUUUUGUUUUUGAGGAGUUAUGACUUCAUCGGCUUGCCCCUUUCUUUAUGAAACUUUCUUAAUGCACUUUUCGGUUAACAAGUCAACAUCAAUUUCUUUUGUUGUAAAAGGGUAUGAGGAAGGUGGCUUUCUUUUCGGAGAAAGUGUUUAUAGCCUUGUGCCUCUGCAAUCGGAGAGAUUGAGGUCUGCAGCGUAGAUCCUUCGGGGUUAGAUACGUUUGUGCUAAGUUAUAGCUUUUCAUAGACAACUUGUUGACUAUGUUUAGUCUUGUAGCUUACUCGCUUACGCUAUUUUACCUACGCUUAGGAUGUUGACGCGCGUGUGUGCGUG
This 773-nucleotide ribosomal RNA is filed under the name uncultured Neocallimastigales. RNAcentral's name for it is "partial large subunit ribosomal RNA". It matches the Rfam family "Eukaryotic large subunit ribosomal RNA", at positions 23 to 639 of the family's 3401-position model. The record is from RNAcentral. Lineage: Eukaryota; Fungi; Neocallimastigomycota; Neocallimastigomycetes; Neocallimastigales.